AGUGAGUUUUUGAGAGAAAAAUUCAGUCACACAUCUUGCUCAAAAGUGCCGAAAAUUCUAGUACCUUAAGGGCGAUUCUAGUUGGUCAAUCUUAAGGCGGAUCUGGACGUGCUGUGGACUAUCUACGGAGGGACGACACUUGGAGUCCUAAAGACUUGUUCUUGUUCGGUUCGGGCGCAGCUAGGGAGGGCACGCAACAAAGAGGAAGCAAAUAGCUGGGGUUGUAGACUACGGAGUACUUAGUUUUGCCAUGACCCUUUGACUGCAGAUAGCCCACAGAACAUGGUUAAGCCUAGUCUCCUAAAUUACAACCAAAGUAUGUCUUAAAUGGAGGCAUAUGACUGAGGAUGACGGGUGCCCUUGGUGCGAGAAGGAGCCUGAAACUGCCUACCAUGACCUCAUUGAAUGCCCAUAUGUGUGUGAUUCUUUGGCGAACGAAGGAAUGUGCAGGAAUUCUGAAUGGAUACAAAGAGAUGAGUGUUCUUGACUGGGUUGAAAAGUGGCGAGAACUGGAUGUUAGGAGAAGACAAGUUGGUGCCACUCUACUUUGGCACAUUUGGAAACGAAGGAAUGACCGGAUUUUUAAUAAAAAAGACACCCCUCAUGCUGUUGUGAUGGAUCGAGUAUUCAGACUUGUUGAGGACUACAACAAAUACGCGACAAAAGUCUAGCAGAAGAAUUCGUGGAUACUGGCCUCCUGAAAUUGCAGAGGGGAAAGCUCUACUUCUAGGUGUGAAGCUUGCAAGCCAACAUAGGCUCACCCAUGUUAUUUUCGAAAGUGACAGUGAGGUAUUCAUUAAGAGAUUGAAAAAUUCAGCAGUGUAUUUGUCAGACUUGGAUACUAUUUUAGAGGAUGUCCUAGUCCUUAUUAAGGAUUUUGAGUUUUAUUCUUUUUCCCAUGUUAAGAGAGAUGGUAACUUUGUUGCGCACCAUCUUGCUCGGUUAGUGCCAUUCCCGAGUUCAACAAGUUCGGAGAAACCAUUGUCCUUGUGAGGUUUCUCCGUAUGUAACAAUGGACACUUUGUCCUUUAAUUAAUGAAAGCACUACCGUUUUCCCUCAAAAAAAAAAUAAAAAAAAAUUAGAUGUUAUACUUGUUUUCCUUGUUCCCUAAUCCUAGUGGAUUUACCCCAAUACCAAACACUGAAUAC
Spinacia oleracea (spinach) is the source of this 1149-nucleotide long non-coding RNA. RefSeq lists it as uncharacterized. NCBI's taxonomy places the organism in Eukaryota, Viridiplantae, Streptophyta, Magnoliopsida, Caryophyllales, Amaranthaceae. The transcript is spliced from 3 exons. The record is from RefSeq and is a predicted model, not a curated record.